UUUCCGUAGGUGAACCUGCGGAAGGAUCAUUAUUGAAUAAACCUGAUGUGGUUGUAGCUGGCCCUUUCGGGAGCAUGUGCACACCCGUCGUCUUUAUCUUUCCACCUGUGCACCUUUUGUAGACCUGGAUGUACCACUUUCCGAGGCAACUCGGUCGGGAGGAAUGCUGUCAGCUUUCCUUGAAUGUCCAGGCCUAUGUUUUCAUAUACCCCAAAGAAUGUAACAGAAUGUAUUAUUGGGCCUUGUGCCUAUAAACUAUAUACAACUUUCAGCAACGGAUCUCUUGGCUCUC
RNAcentral lists this unclassified non-coding RNA (292 nucleotides) under plant metagenome. RNAcentral describes it as "partial contains small subunit ribosomal RNA, internal transcribed spacer 1, and 5.8S ribosomal RNA". The record is from RNAcentral.